RNAcentral lists this ribosomal RNA (427 nucleotides) under uncultured bacterium. RNAcentral's name for it is "partial 16S ribosomal RNA". It matches the Rfam family "Bacterial small subunit ribosomal RNA", at positions 355 to 774 of the family's 1533-position model. The record is from RNAcentral.
UGGGGAAUAUUGCACAAUGGGCGCAAGCCUGAUGCAGCCAUGCCGCGUGUAUGAAGAAGGCCUUCGGGUUGUAAAGUACUUUCAGCGAGGAGGAAGGCGUUGUGGUUAAUAACCGCAGCGAUUGACGUUACUCGCAGAAGAAGCACCGGCUAACUCCGUGCCAGCAGCCGCGGUAAUACGGAGGGUGCAAGCGUUAAUCGUAAUUACUGGGUGUAAAGCGCACGCAGGCGGUCUGUCAAGUCGGAUGUGAAAUCCCCGGGCUCAACCUGGGAACUGCAUCCGAAACUGGCAGGCUAGAGUCUUGUAGAGGGGGGUAGAAUUCCAGGUGUAGCGGUGAAAUGCGUAGAGAUCUGGAGGAAUACCGGUGGCGAAGGCGGCCCCCUGGACAAAGACUGACGCUCAGGUGCGAAAGCGUGGGGAGCAAACA